This 446-nucleotide ribosomal RNA is filed under the name uncultured bacterium. RNAcentral describes it as "bacterial SSU rRNA". It matches the Rfam family "Bacterial small subunit ribosomal RNA", at positions 28 to 508 of the family's 1533-position model. The record is from RNAcentral.
GAUAAACGCUGGCGGCGUGCCUUAUGCAUGCAAGUCGCACGGGAGGUGGGCUUCGGCCCACUGAGAGUGGCGGACGGGUGAGUAACACGUAGGAACCUGCCCGGAAGUGGGGAAUAACUCCUCGAAAGAGGGGCUAAUACCGCAUACGGUCGAGAGACCAAAGCUUCGGCGCUUUCGGAGGGGCCUGCGGCGGAUUAGCUAGUUGGUGGGGUAACGGCCUACCAAGGCGACGAUCCGUAGCUGGUCUGAGAGGAUGGUCAGCCACACUGGGACUGAGACACGGCCCAGACUCCUACGGGAGGCAGCAGCAAGGAAUUUUGCGCAAUGGACGAAAGUCUGACGCAGCAACGCCGCGUGGGGGAUGAAGGCUCUCGGGUUGUAAACCCCUUUUGUGAGGGACGAAGAUCUGACGGUACCUCGCGAAUAAGCCACGGCUAACUACGCGC